AGCAGCCGCGGUAAUUCCAGCUCCAAUAGCGUAUAUUAAAGUUGUUGCAGUUAAAAAGCUCGUAGUUGAAUUUCGGAAUCAGUAUGUUGGUCGUGCUUCGGUACGUACUGUCAUUACUGGUUUCUACCUUCUGAAGAACCUUGAUGUCAUUAAUUUGGUGUCUUGGGGAAUCAGGACUGUUACUUUGAAAAAAUUAGAGUGUUUAAAGCAAGCAUACGCUUGAAUACAUUAGCAUGGAAUAAUGAAAUAGGACGUUUGAUUCUAUUUUGUUGGUUUCUAGGAUCGACGUAAUGAUUAAUAGGGAUAGUUGGGGGGCAUUAGUAUUCAAUUGUCAGAGGUGAAAUUCUUGGAUUAUUGAAGACUAACUACUGCGAAAGCAUUUGCCAAGGAUGUUUUCAUUAAUCAAGAACGAAAGUUAGGGGGAUCAAGACAAUCAGAUACCGUCGUAGUCUUAACCAUAAACUAUGCCGACUAGGGAUCGGAUGAUGUUAUUUUUUAAUGACUCAUUCGGCGCCUUACG
This 520-nucleotide unclassified non-coding RNA is filed under the name uncultured Glomus. Its description in RNAcentral is "SSU rRNA". It matches the Rfam family "Eukaryotic small subunit ribosomal RNA", at positions 569 to 1092 of the family's 1831-position model. Lineage: Eukaryota; Fungi; Glomeromycota; Glomeromycetes; Glomerales; Glomeraceae. The record is from RNAcentral.